AUGAUGAAAAUCAUGCCCGAGAGCUAGAUGCUCGAUCCUAGGGUAGCUGA
This 50-nucleotide small nucleolar RNA is filed under the name Pyrobaculum aerophilum str. IM2. RNAcentral's name for it is "PAEsR16". The record is from RNAcentral. Lineage: Archaea; Thermoproteati; Thermoproteota; Thermoprotei; Thermoproteales; Thermoproteaceae.